GGAGGGUGCAAGCGUUGUUCGGGAUUUACUGGGGCGUAAAGGGCGUGUAGGCGGAUGCGUCAGCCGGAGGUGAAAGCCCCUGAGCUUAACUUGGGAACUGCUUCCGGAACUGCGCAUCUUGAGAGAGUCAGAGGCAGGUGGAAUUCCUGGUGUAGAGGUGAAAUUCGUAGAGAUCAGGAGGAACACCGGUGGCGAAGGCGGCCUGCUGGGACUUUUCUGACGCUGAGGCGCGAAAGCGUGGGGAGCAAACAGGAUUAGAUACCCUGGUAGUCCACGCUGUAAACGAUGAGUACUCGAUGUGCGGGGUACGACCCCCCGCGUGUCACAGCUAACGCAUUAAGUACUCCGCCUGGGGACUACGGUCGCAAGACUA
RNAcentral lists this ribosomal RNA (373 nucleotides) under uncultured organism. RNAcentral's name for it is "partial 16S ribosomal RNA". It matches the Rfam family "Bacterial small subunit ribosomal RNA", at positions 527 to 896 of the family's 1533-position model. The record is from RNAcentral.